AAUUUAGCGAUUGUAAAGUUCUACAUUUGUCAUAAUUUUAAAAAUUCAAAACGAAUUCGUAAUAUACAGCUCAUUAAGCUCACUAAUAUAUUUUGGAUUAGUUGUUAAAUUACUAUAUUACCCAUAUAAAAAUUCAUUUAAUUAGUUUUAAAUUACCCCUCAAACGUUGUAGUUCACACAAUGCUUCCCAAUUAAUAGUAUAGAUUAUUUAUUAGAAUCAUAUGUAAU
Molecule: small RNA, 228 nt
Filed under: Arabidopsis thaliana (thale cress)
Lineage: Eukaryota; Viridiplantae; Streptophyta; Magnoliopsida; Brassicales; Brassicaceae
Description: ATSL102320
Source: RNAcentral